UCACAGCAGAAGACACAGAAAUCCUCCUCAUCAAAAACAUGACUUUGAUCUGCGUCCUCAUCUGGACUCUCCUCUGCUUCACUCAGGGAUCUGAUGGACAAAAUGUUGUUGUGACUCAAUCAGCAGCCAAAUCAGUGCAGCUUGGUCAGACUGUCACUAUUGACUGUAAGGCCAGUAGACAAGUAGCUUGUAACACACCCUGUCUGUCCUGGUACCAUCAAAAAUCUGGAGAAGUUCCUAAAGCUCUGAUCUACAGGACAUCAUCCAGAUUUUCAGGAAUCUCCUCCAGAUUCAGUGGAAGUGGAGCAAGAAAUAAAUUAGACUUCACUCUGACCAUCAGUGGAGUUCAGGCUGAAGAUGCAGGAGUUUAUUACUGUCAGAGUUAUCAUGACAUCAACAGUCAGGAUGUGUUCACACAGUGAAAAAUCAUCGUACAAAAACCUCCCUCAGUCUGACUGAACAGAAACUGAACUUUGUUCUGCAGCUGGAAUCUGCAUCAGACACUGAUACAGUUCACUGAACACAUCAGGCCAGAAAUUAUAUUUCCAUUAAACACAAGAACACAUUCAGUUAUGAUAUUCAGUUAUUAUAUUUUAAAAUAUUAUUUCAUUUAUAUUUUUAGAUGUUUGACACCUUAUUCUCCAAUUAAGUAAUGAAGUAACUUUGACUUUAGAAAGGUUUAAAAAUAUUUUCCACGUUUUAUUUUUAAACAAUCAUACAUGAA
This is a non-coding RNA of Xiphophorus couchianus (Monterrey platyfish), 724 nucleotides long. Lineage: Eukaryota; Metazoa; Chordata; Actinopteri; Cyprinodontiformes; Poeciliidae. The record is from the annotation of a RefSeq genome assembly.